RNAcentral lists this ribosomal RNA (2904 nucleotides) under Escherichia coli. RNAcentral's name for it is "23S ribosomal RNA". It matches the Rfam family "Bacterial large subunit ribosomal RNA". Lineage: Bacteria; Pseudomonadati; Pseudomonadota; Gammaproteobacteria; Enterobacterales; Enterobacteriaceae. The record is from RNAcentral.
GGUUAAGCGACUAAGCGUACACGGUGGAUGCCCUGGCAGUCAGAGGCGAUGAAGGACGUGCUAAUCUGCGAUAAGCGUCGGUAAGGUGAUAUGAACCGUUAUAACCGGCGAUUUCCGAAUGGGGAAACCCAGUGUGAUUCGUCACACUAUCAUUAACUGAAUCCAUAGGUUAAUGAGGCGAACCGGGGGAACUGAAACAUCUAAGUACCCCGAGGAAAAGAAAUCAACCGAGAUUCCCCCAGUAGCGGCGAGCGAACGGGGAGCAGCCCAGAGCCUGAAUCAGUGUGUGUGUUAGUGGAAGCGUCUGGAAAGGCGCGCGAUACAGGGUGACAGCCCCGUACACAAAAAUGCACAUAUUGUGAGCUCGAUGAGUAGGGCGGGACACGUGGUAUCCUGUCUGAAUAUGGGGGGACCAUCCUCCAAGGCUAAAUACUCCUGACUGACCGAUAGUGAACCAGUACCGUGAGGGAAAGGCGAAAAGAACCCCGGCGAGGGGAGUGAAAAAGAACCUGAAACCGUGUACGUACAAGCAGUGGGAGCACGCUUAGGCGUGUGACUGCGUACCUUUUGUAUAAUGGGUCAGCGACUUAUAUUCUGUAGCAAGGUUAACCGAAUAGGGGAGCCGAAGGGAAACCGAGUCUUAACUGGGCGUUAAGUUGCAGGGUAUAGACCCGAAACCCGGUGAUCUAGCCAUGGGCAGGUUGAAGGUUGGGUAACACUAACUGGAGGACCGAACCGACUAAUGUUGAAAAAUUAGCGGAUGACUUGUGGCUGGGGGUGAAAGGCCAAUCAAACCGGGAGAUAGCUGGUUCUCCCCGAAAGCUAUUUAGGUAGCGCCUCGUGAAUUCAUCUCCGGGGGUAGAGCACUGUUUCGGCAAGGGGGUCAUCCCGACUUACCAACCCGAUGCAAACUGCGAAUACCGGAGAAUGUUAUCACGGGAGACACACGGCGGGUGCUAACGUCCGUCGUGAAGAGGGAAACAACCCAGACCGCCAGCUAAGGUCCCAAAGUCAUGGUUAAGUGGGAAACGAUGUGGGAAGGCCCAGACAGCCAGGAUGUUGGCUUAGAAGCAGCCAUCAUUUAAAGAAAGCGUAAUAGCUCACUGGUCGAGUCGGCCUGCGCGGAAGAUGUAACGGGGCUAAACCAUGCACCGAAGCUGCGGCAGCGACGCUGAUGCGUUGUUGGGUAGGGGAGCGUUCUGUAAGCCUGCGAAGGUGUGCUGUGAGGCAUGCUGGAGGUAUCAGAAGUGCGAAUGCUGACAUAAGUAACGAUAAAGCGGGUGAAAAGCCCGCUCGCCGGAAGACCAAGGGUUCCUGUCCAACGUUAAUCGGGGCAGGGUGAGUCGACCCCUAAGGCGAGGCCGAAAGGCGUAGUCGAUGGGAAACAGGUUAAUAUUCCUGUACUUGGUGUUACUGCGAAGGGGGGACGGAGAAGGCUAUGUUGGCCGGGCGACGGUUGUCCCGGUUUAAGCGUGUAGGCUGGUUUUCCAGGCAAAUCCGGAAAAUCAAGGCUGAGGCGUGAUGACGAGGCACUACGGUGCUGAAGCAACAAAUGCCCUGCUUCCAGGAAAAGCCUCUAAGCAUCAGGUAACAUCAAAUCGUACCCCAAACCGACACAGGUGGUCAGGUAGAGAAUACCAAGGCGCUUGAGAGAACUCGGGUGAAGGAACUAGGCAAAAUGGUGCCGUAACUUCGGGAGAAGGCACGCUGAUAUGUAGGUGAGGUCCCUCGCGGAUGGAGCUGAAAUCAGUCGAAGAUACCAGCUGGCUGCAACUGUUUAUUAAAAACACAGCACUGUGCAAACACGAAAGUGGACGUAUACGGUGUGACGCCUGCCCGGUGCCGGAAGGUUAAUUGAUGGGGUUAGCGCAAGCGAAGCUCUUGAUCGAAGCCCCGGUAAACGGCGGCCGUAACUAUAACGGUCCUAAGGUAGCGAAAUUCCUUGUCGGGUAAGUUCCGACCUGCACGAAUGGCGUAAUGAUGGCCAGGCUGUCUCCACCCGAGACUCAGUGAAAUUGAACUCGCUGUGAAGAUGCAGUGUACCCGCGGCAAGACGGAAAGACCCCGUGAACCUUUACUAUAGCUUGACACUGAACAUUGAGCCUUGAUGUGUAGGAUAGGUGGGAGGCUUGGAAGUGUGGACGCCAGUCUGCAUGGAGCCGACCUUGAAAUACCACCCUUUAAUGUUUGAUGUUCUAACGUUGACCCGUAAUCCGGGUUGCGGACAGUGUCUGGUGGGUAGUUUGACUGGGGCGGUCUCCUCCUAAAGAGUAACGGAGGAGCACGAAGGUUGGCUAAUCCUGGUCGGACAUCAGGAGGUUAGUGCAAUGGCAUAAGCCAGCUUGACUGCGAGCGUGACGGCGCGAGCAGGUGCGAAAGCAGGUCAUAGUGAUCCGGUGGUUCUGAAUGGAAGGGCCAUCGCUCAACGGAUAAAAGGUACUCCGGGGAUAACAGGCUGAUACCGCCCAAGAGUUCAUAUCGACGGCGGUGUUUGGCACCUCGAUGUCGGCUCAUCACAUCCUGGGGCUGAAGUAGGUCCCAAGGGUAUGGCUGUUCGCCAUUUAAAGUGGUACGCGAGCUGGGUUUAGAACGUCGUGAGACAGUUCGGUCCCUAUCUGCCGUGGGCGCUGGAGAACUGAGGGGGGCUGCUCCUAGUACGAGAGGACCGGAGUGGACGCAUCACUGGUGUUCGGGUUGUCAUGCCAAUGGCACUGCCCGGUAGCUAAAUGCGGAAGAGAUAAGUGCUGAAAGCAUCUAAGCACGAAACUUGCCCCGAGAUGAGUUCUCCCUGACCCUUUAAGGGUCCUGAAGGAACGUUGAAGACGACGACGUUGAUAGGCCGGGUGUGUAAGCGCAGCGAUGCGUUGAGCUAACCGGUACUAAUGAACCGUGAGGCUUAACCUU